CAGCCGCCGCGGUAAUACGUAGGGUGCGAGCGUUACUCGGAUUUACUGGGCGUAAAGCGUGCGCAGGCGGCCCGUUAAGACAGGUGUGAAAUCCCUGGGCUCAACCUAGGAAUUGCGCUUGUGACUGGCGGGCUCGAGUACGGUAGAGGGGGGUGGAAUUCCUGGUGUAGCAGUGAAAUGCGUAGAGAUCAGGAGGAACACCGAUGGCGAAGGCAGCCCCCUGGGCCUGUACUGACGCUCAUGCACGAAAGCGUGGGGAGCAAACAGGAUUAGAUACCCUGGUAGUCCACGCCCUAAACGAUGGGUACUAGCCGUUUGGUGCGCGAUAGCGCUGAGUGGCGAAGCUAACGCGUGAAGUGCCCCGCCUGGGGAGUACGGCCGCAAGGUUGAAACUUAAAGGAAUUGGCGGG
This 410-nucleotide ribosomal RNA is filed under the name uncultured microorganism. Its description in RNAcentral is "bacterial SSU rRNA". It matches the Rfam family "Bacterial small subunit ribosomal RNA", at positions 509 to 917 of the family's 1533-position model. The record is from RNAcentral.